RNAcentral lists this ribosomal RNA (406 nucleotides) under uncultured bacterium. RNAcentral's name for it is "partial 16S ribosomal RNA". It matches the Rfam family "Bacterial small subunit ribosomal RNA", at positions 30 to 526 of the family's 1533-position model. The record is from RNAcentral.
AUUGAACGCUGGCGGCAGGCCUAACACAUGCAAGUCGAACGAGUGGCGGACGGGUGAGUAAUGUCUGGGAAACUGCCUGACGGACGGGGAUAACUACUGGAAACGGUAGCUAAUACCGCAUACCACCAGUUGUGCCCUGAUGGGAUUAGCUUGUUGGUGGGGUAACGGCUCACCAAGGCGACGAUCCCUAGCUGGUCUGAGAGGAUGACCGGCCACACUGGAACUGAGACACGGUCCAGACGCCUACGGGAGGCAGCAGUGGGGAAUAUUGCACAAUGGGCGCAAGCCUGAUGCAGCCAUGCCGCGUGUAUGAAGAAGGCCUUCGGGUUGUAAAGUACUUUCGGCGGAGAGGCGUUACCCGCAGAGGAAGCACCGGCUAACUCCGUGCCAGCAGCCGCGGUAAUUC